GAGGCAGCCCUGGGGACUUAAGUUGUUUAUUUAACCACAGAACACGUACAACUUGGGUAGCAGUAGUGCAGGCUUCCCCACGGCUGCUUCACCACUGUUCUCUAACCUGGACUUAGACUGACGAUCUCUAGAGGUGAGAAGCUAGCCAAUUCCUUCUCCCUCUCCACCCAAAUGCUGGCCUCG
This 183-nucleotide small RNA is filed under the name Crocodylus porosus (Australian saltwater crocodile). RNAcentral describes it as "TUC338 (ENSCPRG00005003371.1)". Lineage: Eukaryota; Metazoa; Chordata; Crocodylia; Crocodylidae. The record is from RNAcentral.